Molecule: non-coding RNA, 125 nt
Organism: Hordeum vulgare subsp. vulgare (domesticated barley)
Lineage: Eukaryota; Viridiplantae; Streptophyta; Magnoliopsida; Poales; Poaceae
Source: Rfam
UAUAUACUCCCUCCGUCCCGAAUUACUUGUCGCAGAAAUGAAUGUAUCUAGAUCUAUUUUAGUUGUAGAUUCAUCCAUUUUCAUACAAUUCCGUGACAAGUAAUUCCAGACAGAGGGAGUAUCAA